AGUGAACGCUGGCGGUAGGCCUAACACAUGCAAGUCGAACGGCAGCACAGUAAGAGCUUGCUCUUACGGGUGGCGAGUGGCGGACGGGUGAGGAAUACAUCGGAAUCUACUUUUUCGUGGGGGAUAACGUAGGGAAACUUACGCUAAUACCGCAUACGACCUACGGUUGAAAGCAGGGGAUCUUCGGACCUUGCGCGAUUGAAUGAGCCGAUGUCGGAUUAGCUAGUUGGCGGGGUAAAGGCCCACCAAGGCGCCGAUCCGUAGCUGGUCUGAGAGGAUGAUCAGCCACACUGGAACUGAGACACGGUCCAGACUCCUACGGGAGGCAGCAGUGGGGAAUAUUGGACAAUGGGCGCAAGCCUGAUCCAGCCAUACCGCGUGGGUGAAGAAGGCCUUCGGGUUGUAAAGCCCUUUUGUUGGGAAAGAAAAGCAGCAGGUUAAUACCCCGCUGUUCUGACGGUACCCAAAGAAUAAGCACCGGCUAACUUCGUG
RNAcentral lists this ribosomal RNA (492 nucleotides) under uncultured bacterium. Its description in RNAcentral is "partial 16S ribosomal RNA". It matches the Rfam family "Bacterial small subunit ribosomal RNA", at positions 29 to 507 of the family's 1533-position model. The record is from RNAcentral.